This 446-nucleotide ribosomal RNA is filed under the name uncultured bacterium. Its description in RNAcentral is "partial 16S ribosomal RNA". It matches the Rfam family "Bacterial small subunit ribosomal RNA", at positions 330 to 792 of the family's 1533-position model. The record is from RNAcentral.
GCCAGACUCCUACGGGAGGCAGCAGUGGGGGAUAUUGCACAAUGGGGGAAACCCUGAUGCAGCGACACCGCGUGGGUGAGGAAGCGCUUCGGCGUGUAAAGCCCUAUCAGUGGGGAAGAAAAAGGACGGUACCCAAAGAAGAAGCACCGGCUAAAUACGUGCCAGCAGCCGCGGUAAUACGUAGGGGGCGAGCGUUAUCCGGAUUCACUGGGUGUAAAGGGAGCGUAGACGGCCAUGCAAGCCAGGGGUGAAAGCCCGGGGCCCAACCCCGGGACUGCCCUUGGAACUGCAUGGCUGGAGUGCGGGAGGGGCAGGCGGAAUUCCUGGUGUAGCGGUGAAAUGCGUAGAUAUCAGGAGGAACACCGGCGGCGAAGGCGGCCUGCUGGACCGCGACUGACGUUGAGGCUCGAAAGCGUGGGGAGCGAACAGGAUUAGAUACCCGCGUA